CCUACGGGAGGCAGCAGUGGGGAAUAUUGGACAAUGGGCGAAAGCCUGAUCCAGCCAUGCCGCGUGUGUGAAGAAGGCCUUCGGGUUGUAAAGCACUUUCAGUGGGGAAGAAAGCCUUGGGGCUAAUACCCUCGAGGAAGGACAUCACCCACAGAAGAAGCACCGGCUAACUCCGUGCCAGCAGCCGCGGUAAUACGGAGGGUGCGAGCGUUAAUCGGAAUUACUGGGCGUAAAGCGCGCGUAGGCGGUCUGAUAAGCCGGUUGUGAAAGCCCCGGGCUCUACCUGGGAACGGCAUCCGGAACUGUCAGGCUAGAGUGCAGGAGAGGAAGGUAGAAUUCCCGGUGUAGCGGUGAAAUGCGUAGAGAUCGGGAGGAAUACCAGUGGCGAAGGCGGCCUUCUGGACUGACACUGACGCUGAGGUGCGAAAGCGUGGGUAGCAAACAGGAUUAGAUACCCCAGUAGUC
This 465-nucleotide ribosomal RNA is filed under the name Vreelandella stevensii. RNAcentral's name for it is "partial 16S ribosomal RNA". It matches the Rfam family "Bacterial small subunit ribosomal RNA", at positions 338 to 795 of the family's 1533-position model. The record is from RNAcentral. Lineage: Bacteria; Pseudomonadati; Pseudomonadota; Gammaproteobacteria; Oceanospirillales; Halomonadaceae.